GGGUUGUGAGGUUAAGCGACUAAGCGUACACGGUGGAUGCCCUGGCAGUCAGAGGCGAUGAAGGACGUGCUAAUCUGCGAAAAGCGUCGGUAAGGUGAUAUGAACCGUUAUAACCGGCGAUGUCCGAAUGGGGAAACCCAGUGCAAUUCGUUGCACUAUCGUUAACUGAAUACAUAGGUUAACGAGGCGAACCGGGGGAACUGAAACAUCUAAGUACCCCGAGGAAAAGAAAUCAACCGAGAUUCCCCCAGUAGCGGCGAGCGAACGGGGAGCAGCCCAGAGUCUGAAUCAGCUUGUGUGUUAGUGGAACGGUCUGGAAAGUCCGACGGUACAGGGUGAUAGUCCCGUACACCAAAAUGCACAGGCUGUGAACUCGAAGAGUAGGGCGGGACACGUGGUAUCCUGUCUGAAUAUGGGGGGACCAUCCUCCAAGGCUAAAUACUCCUGACUGACCGAUAGUGAACCAGUACCGUGAGGGAAAGGCGAAAAGAACCCCGGCGAGGGGAGUGAAAAAGAACCUGAAACCGUGUACGUACAAGCAGUGGGAGCACCUUCGGGUGUGACUGCGUACCUUUUGUAUAAUGGGUCAGCGACUUAUAUUCUGUAGCAAGGUUAACCGUAUAGGGGAGCCGCAGGGAAACCGAGUCUUAACUGGGCGUUAAGUUGCAGGGUAUAGACCCGAAACCCGGUGAUCUAGCCAUGGGCAGGUUGAAGGUUGGGUAACACUAACUGGAGGACCGAACCGACUAAUGUUGAAAAAUUAGCGGAUGACUUGUGGCUGGGGGUGAAAGGCCAAUCAAACCGGGAGAUAGCUGGUUCUCCCCGAAAGCUAUUUAGGUAGCGCCUCGUGAACUCAUCUUCGGGGGUAGAGCACUGUUUCGGCUAGGGGGUCAUCCCGACUUACCAACCCGAUGCAAACUACGAAUACCGAAGAAUGUUAUCACGGGAGACACACGGCGGGUGCUAACGUCCGUCGUGAAGAGGGAAACAACCCAGACCGCCAGCUAAGGUCCCAAAGUCAUGGUUAAGUGGGAAACGAUGUGGGAAGGCACAGACAGCCAGGAUGUUGGCUUAGAAGCAGCCAUCAUUUAAAGAAAGCGUAAUAGCUCACUGGUCGAGUCGGCCUGCGCGGAAGAUGUAACGGGGCUAAACCAUGCACCGAAGCUGCGGCAGCGACACUAUGUGUUGUUGGGUAGGGGAGCGUUCUGUAAGCCUGCGAAGGUGUGCUGUGAGGCAUGCUGGAGGUAUCAGAAGUGCGAAUGCUGACAUAAGUAACGAUAAAGCGGGUGAAAAGCCCGCUCGCCGGAAGACCAAGGGUUCCUGUCCAACGUUAAUCGGGGCAGGGUGAGUCGACCCCUAAGGCGAGGCCGAAAGGCGUAGUCGAUGGGAAACAGGUUAAUAUUCCUGUACUUGGUGUUACUGCGAAGGGGGGACGGAGAAGGCUAUGUUAGCCGGGCGACGGUUGUCCCGGUUUAAGCAUGUAGGCUGGUUAUCCAGGCAAAUCCGGAUAAUCAAGGCUGAGGUGUGAUGACGAGGCACUACGGUGCUGAAGUAACAAAUGCCCUGCUUCCAGGAAAAGCCUCUAAGCAUCAGGUAACAUCAAAUCGUACCCCAAACCGACACAGGUGGUCAGGUAGAGAAUACCAAGGCGCUUGAGAGAACUCGGGUGAAGGAACUAGGCAAAAUGGUGCCGUAACUUCGGGAGAAGGCACGCUGGUGUGUAGGUGAAGCCCCUGCGGGUGGAGCUGAGACCAGUCGAAGAUACCAGCUGGCUGCAACUGUUUAUUAAAAACACAGCACUGUGCAAACACGAAAGUGGACGUAUACGGUGUGACGCCUGCCCGGUGCCGGAAGGUUAAUUGAUGGGGUUAUCCGUAAGGAGAAGCUCUUGAUCGAAGCCCCGGUAAACGGCGGCCGUAACUAUAACGGUCCUAAGGUAGCGAAAUUCCUUGUCGGGUAAGUUCCGACCUGCACGAAUGGCGUAAUGAUGGCCAGGCUGUCUCCACCCGAGACUCAGUGAAAUUGAACUCGCUGUGAAGAUGCAGUGUACCCGCGGCAAGACGGAAAGACCCCGUGAACCUUUACUAUAGCUUGACACUGAACAUUGAGCCUUGAUGUGUAGGAUAGGUGGGAGGCUUUGAAGCGUGGACGCCAGUCUGCGUGGAGCCAACCUUGAAAUACCACCCUUUAAUGUUUGAUGUUCUAACGUUGGCCCCUUACCGGGGUUGCGGACAGUGUCUGGUGGGUAGUUUGACUGGGGCGGUCUCCUCCCAAAGCGUAACGGAGGAGCACGAAGGUUAGCUAAUCCUGGUCGGACAUCAGGAGGUUAGUGCAAUGGCAUAAGCUAGCUUGACUGCGAGCGUGACGGCGCGAGCAGGUGCGAAAGCAGGUCAUAGUGAUCCGGUGGUUCUGAAUGGAAGGGCCAUCGCUCAACGGAUAAAAGGUACUCCGGGGAUAACAGGCUGAUACCGCCCAAGAGUUCAUAUCGACGGCGGUGUUUGGCACCUCGAUGUCGGCUCAUCACAUCCUGGGGCUGAAGUAGGUCCCAAGGGUAUGGCUGUUCGCCAUUUAAAGUGGUACGCGAGCUGGGUUUAGAACGUCGUGAGACAGUUCGGUCCCUAUCUGCCGUGGGCGCUGGAGAAUUGAGGGGGGCUGCUCCUAGUACGAGAGGACCGGAGUGGACGCAUCACUGGUGUUCGGGUUGUCAUGCCAAUGGCACUGCCCGGUAGCUAAAUGCGGAAGAGAUAAGUGCUGAAAGCAUCUAAGCACGAAACUUGCCCCGAGAUGAGUUCUCCCUGAGACUUUAAGUCUCCUGAAGGAACGUU
RNAcentral lists this ribosomal RNA (2825 nucleotides) under Klebsiella pneumoniae. RNAcentral's name for it is "bacterial LSU rRNA". It matches the Rfam family "Bacterial large subunit ribosomal RNA". Lineage: Bacteria; Pseudomonadati; Pseudomonadota; Gammaproteobacteria; Enterobacterales; Enterobacteriaceae. The record is from RNAcentral.